Long non-coding RNA from Malus domestica (apple), 1266 nucleotides. RefSeq lists it as uncharacterized. The record is from RefSeq and is a predicted model, not a curated record. Lineage: Eukaryota; Viridiplantae; Streptophyta; Magnoliopsida; Rosales; Rosaceae.
UUUACAUCUAUAAGAGGAUUUGUCCCUACUCAAGAAGAAUACGUUCUAUUUUCUGAAAACUAGCCCUAUUCUAGUGAGAACAUAAGGUCCCCAUUGAGUAGAAGAUAUUUCCUUAUUCACGGUUCCAUGGCUUUGUCAGGCAUGCCCAUCCAAGUCUACCCAAUGAAGAUGCCGGCCAGCGUUGUUUCUUGAGUUCUGAAAUUGUCCCCCAAUGUGAUGGUGCUUGAUCAUUGCGUCAUUGUCCAUAACGUCAAGGCUUACCUACCCAAAGAAUCAACUUGGGCCUCUCCUUAAAAAACGGGAACCCUCUGAGAACGAGAAAGAGACUGGAAUCGUAAAAGAAUCAGGUACAGAAACCGUGACCGCGUCCAUAUCAAAAGGUCGCGUACACCCGAACGCUCCAGGCCACGCAAUUGUCAGCGGCGCAAGUCAACUAUCGAAGAAGAGGGGUGGUAUGUUGUGAUUAAUUGGCUCAUAUAAUUGAGUUGGCAACAAGUAAAGAUUGAAGACCAAAUUGAUCGGAGUGGUAGGUGUGCAAAGUAAAAGGGUUCCAGAAGCAAGUCGAAAGUAGGAAAGAAGCAGCAACGUUAAUCACAUAAACACAUGGAAUUAUGCAUGUGUUGACUUUGUGGAUUAAUAAAAGGAAAAGUCAGAUAGUUGUUUUGACUAAAUGGAGAGAAUGAGGGAAGGCAUGCCAAGUGCUUAUCCUUUAAUCAUAAAGGAAACUAAAGCCUUGAAUUUGGGAGCCAAGGCACAAUAACGGCAUCGUUAAAGGCAUUGCGAAGUAGGAAGAAAACUCAGCAAAAGCCGAGCAGCAAUGGGGUUGGUCUGAAAGAUUGCUUGGUUGCCUAUGAUAUCACGAAUGGCACAAGCUUGGUGGACUAAUGUACAUGGCUUUAAUGGUUUUCUGGUUAAAGCUUUCUUUGGUUUUGAUUAUAAUUGUUCACAUUAAUGCUUUUCUUGGUGAGUCUUAUUCAUGAAUUGUUGGAGUUUCUGUGGAGCUUUCCUUUCGGUGGAAUUUCAAGAAAAGCAGAGAUAACAUAAAGAAGGCAGAGAGAAAAAGGAAUCAAACUCCAACAAGAAUGAUGCCAAGGCUGCAACAUGUCUAACUAGACAAAUAAUCAUGCUAUUAAACCAUUAAAUAAAUGUUUGUAGAACUUUCACCAAGGGGGUUUUAAGGAAAUUUUGUUUAUUAGGAUGUUGCAUGGACUUGUGGAUCAUAAUCCACAAUGGAUAAAUAUGUUGGCCGGUUGGUUUUAUAAAUCA